Molecule: ribosomal RNA, 440 nt
Filed under: uncultured bacterium
Lineage: Bacteria
Description: partial 16S ribosomal RNA
Rfam family: Bacterial small subunit ribosomal RNA
Source: RNAcentral
CCUACGGGCGGCAGCAGUGGGGAAUAUUGCACAAUGGGGGGAACCCUGAUGCAGCGACGCCGCGUGGGUGAAGGAGUACUUCGGUACGUAAAGCCCUAUCAGCAGGAAAGAAAAUGACGGUACCUGACUAAGAAGCCCCGGCUAACUACGUGCCAGCAGCCGCGGUAAUACGUAGGGGGCAAGCGCUAUCCGGAUUUACUGGGUGUAAAGGGAGCGUAGACGGUUAUGUAAGUCUGGAGUGAAAGCCCGGGGCCCAACCCCGGGACUGCUUUGGAAACUGUGUAACUGGAGUACAGGAGGGGCAGGCGGAAUUCCUGGUGUAGCGGUGAAAUGCGUAGAUAUCAGGAGGAACACCGGCGGCGAAGGCGGCCUGCUGGACUGAAACUGACGUUGAGGCUCGAAAGCGUGGGGAGCAAACAGGAUUAGAUACCCGAGUAGUC